GACGAACGCUGGCGGCGUGCCUAAUACAUGCAAGUUGAGCGCUGAAGGUUGGUACUUGUACCAACUGGAUGAGCAGCGAACGGGUGAGUAACGCGUGGGGAAUCUGCCUUUGAGCGGGGGACAACAUUUGGAAACGAAUGCUAAUACCGCAUAAAAACUUUAAACACAAGUUUUAAGUUUGAAAGAUGCAAUUGCAUCACUCAAAGAUGAUCCCGCGUUGUAUUAGCUAGUUGGUGAGGUAAAGGCUCACCAAGGCGAUGAUACAUAGCAGACCUGAGAGGGUGAUCGGCCACAUUGGGACUGAGACACGGCCCAAACUCCUACGGGAGGCAGCAGUAGGGAAUCUUCGGCAAUAGACGAAAGUCUGACCGAGCAACGCCGCGUGAGUGAAGAAGGUUUUCGGAUCGUAAAACUCUGUUGGUAGAGAAGAACGUUGGUGAGAGUGGAAAGCUCAUCAAGUGACGGUAACUACCCAGAAAGGGACGGCUAACUACGUG
Molecule: ribosomal RNA, 497 nt
Filed under: uncultured bacterium
Lineage: Bacteria
Description: partial 16S ribosomal RNA
Rfam family: Bacterial small subunit ribosomal RNA
Source: RNAcentral